Long non-coding RNA from Vespula pensylvanica (western yellowjacket), 1141 nucleotides. RefSeq lists it as uncharacterized. The transcript is spliced from 2 exons. NCBI's taxonomy places the organism in Eukaryota, Metazoa, Arthropoda, Insecta, Hymenoptera, Vespidae. The record is from RefSeq and is a predicted model, not a curated record.
UUGAAGAGCGUAUGUUGAAUGGUAUAAAGGAAAUUUUUUUGCGCGCCUUCUGCACCCACGGACACAGUCCAAGGUCGCAAGCCAUUUCGAAAGGAAAACCGGAGUGGUCGUGGAGUGGCGGAUAUUAAGAACCGGAAUUAUCCCACCCCUCCGCACUCUUCUUAUAUUUAUGCGCGUUACGACCUAUCAGCCUUCUACCUUGCUUUCGAAGCAAGCAGUUUUUAAGCGAGCGCCGGUCGAUCCACUCCUUUUACGCUCGGACGAAGCUUCGUGCAAAAUCGAUUCUCGCAUUUAAAGGAGACAGCGGUGUCAUCUUCAAAGUUACCAAGCUACCUGGAUUUAACUGGAAAGGCACGAAGAAAAUUUCGACUUUGUUCGGCUUUCGGGACGAGUCUGGGAUCGAGCCGAUAUCGAGGAUGAUUUUAUUGGCGAGGGUGUUUUAAAGAUGGCCGUUUCUAUAGCAAUGGCCGGUGAUAUCGUGGGGAUCUGGAGCAUUGGGGCAUCAGCGAACAAAACCUUCUUUUGCAUACAGUUGGCUUAGGGUGCUCGUAUGGCCGUUUAAAAUGGAGGAAACGAUGAUUACUUUAAACUCGUUGAGCGAAUGAACGUAAAAUCUUUAUAAUUAUGGUCGUCGGACUCAUGCUUUGAUCUUUGAUAUGGUACAUUCAGAAACAAAGAAGAAGAAAAGCCUAUGGCGCCAAUGGAUUUCAAGCCAUAGGAAAGACGUGUACGGCACGACAAGGGAUCACUCGGAGUGGAGGGUGAAUCACCGGGAGUUUAUUGGCCACGACGCUCUGUAGCGGAGGACUCGUCGGGGCGGGAAAGCAAUUACGUAAUCAAGUAAUUAGUCCCUGACCUCGGGUAACAGGUUCCGCCUUGCUAUUCAACCGACCUGACUUCCUCUCGAGACUCUUUCGAUUUUUUUCUUUUUUACUUCGGUAUGGAUCUUCCGAAGGGAAUCUAAGAAUGACGAUCUUGGCUAUGUUUAAUCAUUGUUAUUAAUUAAAACGAUAGAUAGUUUUUUCUUUACCUUACAUUUUGUCAUUUGAUCUCUCUGAUGAAUAUACCUCGAUUAAUUCAUUAUCUUUUCUCUUUCAAAUUGCUACUUGGAAAACAAAGAAAAUAAGAAAUUGGAAACACA